GCUUAUGGCCACACCGCCUGGUUCACGGCUGAUCUCGUUUGAUCUCGGAAGCUAAGAUAGGGUGGGCAUGGUUAGUACUUGGAUGGGAGACCGCCUGGGAAUACCAGGUGUUGUAAGAU
RNAcentral lists this ribosomal RNA (119 nucleotides) under Scophthalmus maximus (turbot). The record is from RNAcentral. Lineage: Eukaryota; Metazoa; Chordata; Actinopteri; Pleuronectiformes; Scophthalmidae.